RNAcentral lists this ribosomal RNA (372 nucleotides) under uncultured organism. RNAcentral's name for it is "bacterial SSU rRNA". It matches the Rfam family "Bacterial small subunit ribosomal RNA", at positions 526 to 896 of the family's 1533-position model. The record is from RNAcentral.
CGUAGGGUGCGAGCGUUAAUCGGAAUUACUGGGCGUAAAGCGUGCGCAGGCGGUUUUGUAAGACAGGCGUGAAAUCCCCGGGCUCAACCUGGGAACUGCGCUUGUGACUGCAAGGCUAGAGUACGGCAGAGGGGGGUGGAAUUCCACGUGUAGCAGUGAAAUGCGUAGAGAUGUGGAGGAACACCAAUGGCGAAGGCAGCCCCCUGGGUCGAUACUGACGCUCAUGCUCGAAAGCGUGGGUAGCAAACAGGAUUAGAUACCCUGGUAGUCCACGCCCUAAACGAUGUCAACUAGGUGUUGGGAGGGUAAAACCUUUUAGUACCGGAGCUAACGCGUGAAGUUGACCGCCUGGGGAGUACGGCCGCAAGGUUA